UGUCCCCUCAAAAUUCACAUGUUGAAGUUCUAAACCCAAUGUGGUAGUAUUUGGAGACGGGCCUUGGAGAGGUAUUUAGGUUUAGAUGAGGUCAUAAGGGUGGUGUCCCCAUGAUGGGAUUAGACAUCACAAAGCUCGCCUUCCUCUCUCUGUCCCUGCCACAUGAGGACAAAGAGAAAGUGGUCACCCUUAAGCCAGGAAGAUAGUUCUCAUCAGAACUCAAUCAUUCCAACACAAUGAUCUUGGACUUCGCCUACGGAACUAGGAAAAGCCAUUUGAGGACAAAGCCAUCUAUAAACAAGGAAGAGAGCCCUUAUCAGGAACCUAAAUGACCAGCACUUUGAUCUGGGACUUCCAGCCUCCAGAACAGUGAGAAAAUAGACUUUUGUUGUUGAAGCCCCCCAGUCUGUGGUAUUUCGCUCUGGCACCUGAGCAGACUACUGCAAAGAGGAAUCAUCGCAUUAAAAAGAAAAAUGUAUAUAAUCUUUGGAAAGCACCAGAGAAUUUCAGGGGUUGAAGACCUUAUUUACCCAUCUCUCUCUCUCUCUCUCUCUCUCUCUCUCUCUCUCUCUCUCUCUCACACACACACACACACACACACACACACACACACACACACACCCUGGCUCCCCACAGCAUGGCCAGGGCUCACCCAGCCAACCCCAGACUCCAACUUGGCAUCGCAGAGCAGUCUCACCAGAGAGAGCCUUAGGUGUGCCAAUUUCCACUCCUCCUCCAUUUCCCACAGGCCUUGCAAGCACCUCGCCUCAGAAAGGGAAUUACUUGCCAACAAAGACCUACGUGGGACUUGGGGGCACUGCCCCGGGGCACUUCAUUACAGGGAGCUCCCACAGCCACAGCCUGCAGGAGCUGACACACAGAAAGAAGCUCAUUCAUAACAAGCAGCAAGCCUUUGUCAAGUUACCAUUUCACGUGUGCCAAGCAGUUAAACUCCCUGGGAGGCGCCCCCUCCUAGAAGGGGAUAAAACUAGUUCUGCCAGGGAGAACCAUCCACCCAAAGCAUCUGUGGUCAUUUAGCCCCACUGCAGUCGACCCCAGUGGUGCAGCAUGAACAGCAAUCAGAGCUCCACAAGUAGCCAGAGGACCUUGGGAAUGUAACAUGGUCAAAAGAGAAUCUAAUUGGAUCCAUGCUCAAAAAUGAAGGUUCAAAUAUUUACAUUGAAGUACUAUUUGUAACGGCAUUCACAAAUGUCCAACAACAGGGGUUAGAUGAAUAAAUCAUAACAUAGUCAUUCAA
Long non-coding RNA from Felis catus (domestic cat), 1258 nucleotides. RefSeq lists it as uncharacterized. The transcript is spliced from 2 exons. NCBI's taxonomy places the organism in Eukaryota, Metazoa, Chordata, Mammalia, Carnivora, Felidae. The record is from RefSeq and is a predicted model, not a curated record.